This 253-nucleotide ribosomal RNA is filed under the name uncultured bacterium. RNAcentral describes it as "partial 16S ribosomal RNA". It matches the Rfam family "Bacterial small subunit ribosomal RNA", at positions 524 to 776 of the family's 1533-position model. The record is from RNAcentral.
CACGGGGGGAGCAAGCGUUGUUCGGAAUCACUGGGCGUAAAGGGCGUGUAGGCGGUCAAGUAAGUGGAAUGUGAAACGCCUCGGCUUACCCGAGGACCUGCAUCCCAAACUGCUUGGCUUGAGUAUGGGAGAGGAUGAGGGAAUUCCUGGUGUAGCGGUGAAAUGCGUAGAUAUCAGGAGGAACACCGGUGGCGAAAGCGCUCAUCUGGCCCAAUACUGACGCUGAGGCGCGAAAGCGUGGGGAGCGAACAGG